RNAcentral lists this long non-coding RNA (1453 nucleotides) under Heterocephalus glaber (naked mole-rat). RNAcentral describes it as "lncRNA (ENSHGLG00000031459.2)". The record is from RNAcentral. Lineage: Eukaryota; Metazoa; Chordata; Mammalia; Rodentia; Bathyergidae.
CUGCAGGGAGGCCUAGAGGAUUCCCCGGAGCAAGGGGCGGAGAGCCCGGGCCGCUCUGCCUGGUGUGGGAGGGGUGGGAAGAGCAGCAGCGGAGGAAUCACUGCCCCUGCGACUUCUCCGAAAAUGGCUCCGUGGCCUCCAGGAAGCCGGUUGCCCGCUGGGAAGGAGGCCGGGCUGGGCAGCUGCAGGUCGAGGGCCCCGGAGAAAGGAAAGGCCGCGUGGGGACCCUGCGGGGACAGAUCUGUGAUCCCUCAUGUCCUGGGAGCCGGGCCCGGCCGCCAGGCUGCGUGGGCCGGGAAGAGAAUCAGCAUCACUGUGGAGUGAGGGGCCUCUGCCAGCCAAUCGUGCUGACAUGAAAACACACAAAACCGCCAUCCACAGAUGUGCACACACGCACGCCUCGCCAACACAGCUUCAGCUCAUUUGCAAAACCCAAAGCUGCUUGCAGGUGAGCUGGUGAACGAGAAGCAGGAAGAGGAAGCUCUUGAGGAAACAGUCAGCUCCGCCCCUGCGAGAAUGAGGCCGAACCCAAACCGCAGUGGAAAUGUCAGCACUGAGGAGGCGCAUCGCGGCUUGGCUUGUGGUGGACCCACUGCAUUUAUUGUAACUGGGUAACCCGAGUCUGUCCUGUCCCCAGUCCCCAGCACCACUGCCCCAUUCUAACAGGGUCAGCCAAGUUAAUUCUGCUAUGGAAAAGUGAAAGGAAAAGAGACACCAUAUUAAAGAAUCUUACCACAGUGAUAUAUGCACACCCAUGUUCAUAGCGGCACAGUGCAUAAUAGCUAAAGCUUGGAAACAGCCCAAGUGCCCGUCAACUGGAAACUAGAUAAAGAAGAUGUGGGUUUUUUUAUAAAAUGGAGUACUACUCAGCCAAAGGAAUGAGAAACUAGAGGCAUUUUAUAGCUAAAUGGAUGCAUAUUGAGGCCAUCCUCUUAAGUGAAAUAAAUAGGACACACACACGUGUAAAUACCGAAUCGUUUCUCUAGUGUGAGAAACUGAAACUGUAAUUAAGGAUUAAAAUGCUUAAAAUGAAUAAUGGAUAAUUUGAAAUAAGAAGAAAAGGUCCAAAGGGGUUGGGGAAGUAGGAGGGGUAAGGGAAAGGAAAAAUGAGAAAUGGAAAAAAUGGAAACAAAGUCUUUGUAAAUAGGGAAGGGUGGAGGGGUGCAGGGAGGACAGGGAAUGGGGAAAAAAUAAGAACCAAGAUGCAUCAUGCACAGGUACAAGCACCCAAUGAUAAAUGUAAAUGUAUUGUAUACCUAAAAUGUACCAAUAAAAGAAUUUAAGCAAAAAAAGACUAUAUUUACUACAAUAACAGAAGGAAAGCCCAGGAACUAAGGGUGUAUGAAGUUGAAAGAGAAAGCCGGAUCUGGGAGUCACACCCAUGCUCCCAGCAUUUGGGAGGCUGAGGCAGGAGGACUGUGUCAAGGUUGAGGCCAGCCUGGGCUGCAUAGUG